GCCAAUGUGGCUUAGUGGUUGAGCAUCAGCCUGUGAACCAGGAGGUCAUGGUUCAAUUCCCAAUCAAGGGCA
Molecule: transfer RNA, 72 nt
Filed under: Myotis davidii
Lineage: Eukaryota; Metazoa; Chordata; Mammalia; Chiroptera; Vespertilionidae
Rfam family: tRNA
About the family: Transfer RNA (tRNA) molecules are approximately 80 nucleotides in length. Their secondary structure includes four short double-helical elements and three loops (D, anti-codon, and T loops).
Source: Rfam by way of RNAcentral